RNAcentral lists this long non-coding RNA (1404 nucleotides) under Calidris pugnax (ruff). RNAcentral describes it as "lncRNA (ENSCPUG00000019868.1)". The record is from RNAcentral. Lineage: Eukaryota; Metazoa; Chordata; Aves; Charadriiformes; Scolopacidae.
GUGCACACGUGUGUGCAACAGGCCCUGCAAGGACAAGGGUGUGAAACAUGGCCUGGUGUGAAACCCUGCGCCCGCUGCAACACCCGGGGCUGGUGCUACACCCCGCAGUCGGUGCAACACCCUGCACCAGUGCAACAGCCCGGGCCUCGUGCAACACCCUGGGCCUUGUGCAACACCCUGCGGUCGGUGCAACACCCCGCACCUGAUGCACUGUCACCAGGUCGGUGCAACACCCUGCCCCUGGUGCAACACCUGGACACGGGGCAACAUCCCGCACGCGGUACAAUAUCUCAGGCCCCGUGCAACACCCUGCACCUGGUGAAAAUCUCCCUGUGCCUGGUGCAACACCCCCCGCACGGUGCAACACCCCACACCCAGAGCAACACCCCCCGCACGGUGCAACACCCCACAGCGGGUACAAACCCCCGCAGUCAGUGUAACAUCCCGCCCGUGGUGCAAUGUCCCAGUCACACCCAGUGCAACACCCCGCACCCCGUGCAACACCCCGUGCUCCGUGCAAUAUCCUGGUCCCCGGGUGAAACCCCGCACCCAGAACAAAACCCCGCACCCGCUGCAACACCCCACGUCCUGUGCAACACCCCAGACCCUGUGCAACACCCCGCACCGCUGCAACACCGCAGACCCUGUGCAACACCCCAUGUCUGGUGGAACACCCUACAGGAGGUACCACCCCACACCCGGUGCAGAGCCCACACCACCACAACACCCCACACGAGGUACCACCCCACACCUGGGCCAACACCCCACACGUGGUGCAACACCCCACACGAGAUACCACCCCACACCCACUGCAACACUCCACACGAGGUACCCCGCUACAGACGGUACAACACCCCACACGUGGUGCAGACCCCAUGCCACUCAACACGAGGUACCACCGCACACCCAGGGCAACACCCCACACCCGCUGCAACACCCCACACGAGGUACCCCCCUACAGAUGGUGCAACACCCCACAUGCGGCGCAGACCCCACACCACCACAACACCCCACACAAGGUACCAUCCCACACUCGGGGCAACACCCCACACGAGGUACCACCCCACAGACGGUGCAACACCCCACAUGCGGUGCAGACCCCACACCACCCCACACGAGGUACCACCCCACACCGGGGGCAACACCCCACACGAGGUAGCACCCCACAGACGGUGCAACACCCCACAUGCGGCGCAGACCCCACACCACCCAACAGGAGGUACCACCGCACACCGGGGGCAACACCCCACACCACCACAACACCCCACGCGAGGUACCACCCCACACCCGGGGCAACAGAGGUACCCACAGAGGUACAACCCCACACCCACUGCAACACCCCCCAGAGGUACAACCCUGCACCCGCUGCGACCCCCCAGGCGCGGGGCCGGGCGGGCACAAGCC